UACAUGCAAGUCGAACGAGUUCUGAUUAUUGAAGGGUGCUUGCAUCUUGAUUUAAUUUUGAACGAGUGGCGGACGGGUGAGUAACACGUGGGUAACCUGCCCUUAAGUGGGGGAUAACAUUUGGAAACAGAUGCUAAUACCGCAUAAAUCCAAGAACCGCAUGGUUCUUGGCUGAAAGAUGGCGUAAGCUAUCGCCUUUGGAUGGACCCGCGGCGUAUUAGCUAGUUGGUGAGGUAACGGCUCACCAAGGCAAUGAUACGUAGCCGAACUGAGAGGUUGAUCGGCCACAUUGGGACUGAGACACGGCCCAAACUCCUACGGGAGGCAGCAGUAGGGAAUCUUCCACAAUGGACGCAAGUCUGAUGGAGCAACGCCGCGUGAGUGAAGAAGGCUUUCGGGUCGUAAAACUCUGUUGUUGGAGAAGAAUGGUCGGCAGAGUAACUGUUGCCGGCGUGACGGUAUCCAACCAGAAAGCCACGGCUAACUACGUGCCAGCAGCCGCGGUAAUACGUAGGUGGCAAGCGUUAUCCGGAUUUAUUGGGCGUAAAGCGAGCGCAGGCGGUUUUUUAAGUCUGAUGUGAAAGCCCUCGGCUUAACCGAGGAAGUGCAUCGGAAACUGGGAAACUUGAGUGCAGAAGAGGACAGUGGAACUCCAUGUGUAGCGGUGAAAUGCGUAGAUAUAUGGAAGAACACCAGUGGCGAAGGCGGCUGUCUGGUCUGUAACUGGCGCUGA
RNAcentral lists this ribosomal RNA (733 nucleotides) under uncultured Bacilli bacterium. RNAcentral's name for it is "bacterial SSU rRNA". It matches the Rfam family "Bacterial small subunit ribosomal RNA", at positions 52 to 749 of the family's 1533-position model. The record is from RNAcentral. Lineage: Bacteria; Bacillati; Bacillota; Bacilli.